AUGCAGAGACUAACAGCGGCAGGAAGCCCCUUGUCCACCAGGGAAGGAGAAACAACAGGAAAUGUCACAGCUCGGAAUCCAGGAGUGCAACCACGGAGGCCAUGGUAUCUCAGGGGUCUCUGUCAUCGGGCACCCAGGUGCCACGUGUGUUGCUCCACUCCCCACCUCUCGUCUCUCCAGGGUGCAGCAGCCCUUCUGAGAUGGAAGCAAGCCCUGGGACCAACAGCACAACGGCAUAGGACAUGUUCCUCCUGGAGCGUUUAUUGUCUGGGACUUGGCAUGAUACACUGGCCAGGCCUGAAAACCAGAAAGCCACCUGGACCCCUGGAGCCCUCCCCCAGCCCUGACCUCAGAACCACAGGAGGGGCAGCAGCACCCCUCUGCAUCCGCUCUAUGGAAGGGCCUUCAUCCACCUCCAAGAAACUGGUACCUGCUGGCUCUGGCUCUCUCUGCUGCGGUGAUGAGUGUGUGAGCCCAGGGCGCAGGUGACGUCUUCUGGAUACUGGCACACAACGGGAAGCAGCCAGGGUGAGGCCUGUGGGCUUUCUGCUGGGGGAGGGCCCUUACCUCUCAGAAACGUGGGGCUAAGACCACGAGGACCACCUACUGGGUCUGGGGCUGGCACUCCUCCAGGGUCCUGCAAGAGAGAAGAUCCCAGGAGGGCAGUUUUCACAGCCUGUCCUACCUACCACUCAGUGCCUGAGCAACAAGCGGGCCGGGCAGAGGGGCCCAAGGACCCAGUCAGGAGGGGGUGCUGGGCUUGCCAUCUCAGGCUUGGGUCUGGGGUCUGUGUCUUCAGAGGGUUUCAGGGGACUAGGCUGCUCUUGCACUGGCCAGAGACCUGGGGAUCAGGGUGCCCAGCCCCUCUGGCUCACCUCUCUCCUGAGACCUCUGGCCUGCUCUGCAGAUGGCGUGGGGCAAGCCCCAGGACAGUCAUCUCCACUCCUGCUAUCGCAGAAGUGAUCUUGGUGGUGGCCACAUGUGAUACCCUCUGUGCUGAAGCACAUCUGCCUGGAAUAAGGGCGUGCAU
Molecule: long non-coding RNA, 1030 nt
Filed under: Bos indicus x Bos taurus (hybrid cattle)
Lineage: Eukaryota; Metazoa; Chordata; Mammalia; Artiodactyla; Bovidae
Description: lncRNA (ENSBIXG00000018975.1)
Source: RNAcentral